UGAACGCUGGCGGUAUGCUUAACACAUGCAAGUCGAACGGAAACGAUACUAGCUUGCUAGUAGGCGUCGAGUGGCGGACGGGUGAGUAACGCGUAGGAAUCUGCCUGAUAGUGGGGGAUAGCCCGAAGAAAUUCGGAUUAAUACCGCAUAAUCUAUUCGUAGUAAAGUGGGGGACUUUCGAGCCUCACGCUAUCAGAUGAGCCUGCGUAAGAUUAGCUUGUUGGUAGGGUAAAAGCCUACCAAGGCGACGAUCUUUAGCUGGUCUGAGAGGAUGAUCAGCCACAUCGGGACUGAGACACGGCCCGAACUCCUACGGGAGGCAGCAGUGGGGAAUAUUGGACAAUGGGGGCAACCCUGAUCCAGCAAUACCGCGUGUGUGAAGAAGGCCUGAGGGUUGUAAAGCACUUUCAAUUGUGAAGAAAAGUUAGCGGUUAAUAACCGUUAGCCUUGACGUUAACUUUAGAAGAAGCACCGGCUAACUCCGUGCCAGCAGCCGCGGUAAUACGGAGGGUGCAAGCGUUAAUCGGAAUUACUGGGCGUAAAGCGUGCGUAGGCGGUUUAUUAAGUCAGAUGUGAAAGCCCCGGGCUUAACCUGGGAACUGCAUUUGAAACUGGUCAACUAGAGUAUGGUAGAGGAAAGUGGAAUUUCUGGUGUAGCGGUGAAAUGCGUAGAUAUCAGAAGGAACAUCAAUGGCGAAGGCAGCUUUCUGGACCAAUACUGACGCUGAGGUACGAAAGCGUGGGUAGCAAACAGGAUUAGAUACCCUGGUAGUCCACGCCGUAAACGAUGAUAACUAGCCGUUGGGGGGAUUUACCCUUUAGUGGCGAAGCUAACGCGUUAAGUUAUCCGCCUGGGGAGUACGGCCGCAAGGUUAAAACUCAAAGGAAUUGACGGGGACCCGCACAAGCGGUGGAGCAUGUGGUUUAAUUCGAUGCAACGCGAAGAACCUUACCUGGUCUUGACAUCCUGCGAACUUUCUAGAAAUAGAUUGGUGCCUUCGGGAACGCAGUGACAGGUGCUGCAUGGCUGUCGUCAGCUCGUGUCGUGAGAUGUUGGGUUAAGUCCCGUAACGAGCGCAACCCCUAUCCUUAUUUGCCAGCACAUCAUGGUGGGAACUAUAAGGAGACUGCCGGUGAUAAACCGGAGGAAGGCGGGGACGACGUCAAGUCAUCAUGGCCCUUACGACCAGGGCUACACACGUGCUACAAUGGGAAGGACAAAGAGCCGCGAAGCCGCGAGGUGUAGCUAAUCUCAUAAACCUUUUCGUAGUCCGGAUUGGAGUCUGCAACUCGACUCCAUGAAGUCGGAAUCGCUAGUAAUCGUAGAUCAGAAUGCUACGGUGAAUACGUUCCCGGGUCUUGUACACACCGCCCGUC
RNAcentral lists this ribosomal RNA (1377 nucleotides) under uncultured bacterium. RNAcentral's name for it is "16S ribosomal RNA". It matches the Rfam family "Bacterial small subunit ribosomal RNA", at positions 30 to 1398 of the family's 1533-position model. The record is from RNAcentral.